Pelobates cultripes (western spadefoot toad) is the source of this 1330-nucleotide non-coding RNA. Lineage: Eukaryota; Metazoa; Chordata; Amphibia; Anura; Pelobatidae. The record is from the annotation of a GenBank genome assembly.
CAGCAAACCAAGUGACACAUUUAGACAUCUGUCUAUGCAUACCUUCUAGUAAUUGUGUUACAUACAUUUCCAAAAAAUGUAAAAAACAAACAAACACAUUACAGGAACAUUUUCUUGAGUUAAAUGUCUGGAGUCCACAAUUCAAUGUCAAAUAUCUACUCUAUCCAUUCCCAAUAAGUAGCUUUGGACAUGGAGUUGCCAAGUGGCAAAAAGAAUUGCUGCGUUUUGGUAAUAGCACAUCACUGCAAUGCUGUGCAAUGUAUGCAUAGUCUCUUUUUUUGUUUAUAGAUUGGUAGAAUGUAGAUGUGGGAGCCUUUCUUGGUUACACUGGAAUAAUCUGAGAUGAAACUAAAGCUAAGGAUGUUGGCAAAGGAACUUGUAGACAUGGAGUACAUAUCUUGGGUACAGUAAAAUUAAUUACUGCUUUAGAAAGAAAGAAAAAAAGAGAGAGAUAAAUGUGUCUGCCUUUAUCCUUGUACCAGGAUAAUGUCACCUUAGCAGUUUGCAUCUAGAAUUGGAUUAAAUCAAGUUGUUUAAAGAAGAUCAGAGUUAUUUGUCACCAUUCUAUUGAAAAGACUAAUACUUUGUGAUUUUGCUUCCUGGUUUAAUGUAACAAUGUUCCGUAAAAGCAACAUAUUUCCUUAUUGUGCUCUAACUAAACUUCCAUUAAUGAGCCAUUUAACAGACUGCAUGGAGUUCUAUUGCCCAAAUGAUAUAUCAGGAGGCACCCAAUAGAAAAUGAAUUUCCUCUGGUUUCAAGAUGUAUAGUAUAAAGAUAUACAACUUAUUUAUGUGUAAUGUUAGGUUAUUUUAAAAUGGUCUCUGAAAUAUUAAUCAUGUCAAGUAGUUCAUAAUGUAUCUCAUAUAUUCUAUUCUGCACUAUCCGACAUCUAGUGAUCAUGGAAAAGUCAAUAUAUUCACUGGUAAAAUGAUUAUAAUAAGUAGUAACUGUGCUAAAGACAGAAAAAAAAAAGCAUCCCUAUGAAAUAAGCAUAAAGCCAACAGUGAUAUAACAAACUCUUGAUUAAAAACAUAACAACACACCCCCUCUCAAAACAAAACGUAAUAUACUUAAUAUAAAAACAUUUUUUAGAAGCAAAAUCUAAAAAAAAAAAAAAAAGGCAUAGAAAUUUCAGUUGAUUAAAAAAGGUUCAAAAGUGUGUCGGCCCCUUUCUGGGGUACUGGCUGUACCCCACCAAUGUUUGCCCUGGAUAGUAGGACGACAACAAACGUCAAGUGGAGAUGGAGUGUGAGAUUCUCUGAUGCAAGUUACAAUAAACUUACAAAAAUUAUCAUUUUUAAAAACAUGAAAAGGGCAAAUAAGUCAAUU